This 378-nucleotide ribosomal RNA is filed under the name uncultured organism. RNAcentral describes it as "partial 16S ribosomal RNA". It matches the Rfam family "Bacterial small subunit ribosomal RNA", at positions 527 to 896 of the family's 1533-position model. The record is from RNAcentral.
GGAGGGGGCAAGCGUUAUUCGGAUUUACUGGGCGUAAAGCGCACGUAGGCGGCAUGGCAAGUCGCAGGUGAAAGCCCUCGGCUCAACCGAGGAACUGCCUGCGAAACUGCCUUGCUUGAGUCCGGGAGGGGGGAGCGGAAUUCCCAGUGUAGCGGUGAAAUGCGUAGAUACUGGGAGGAACACCGGUGGCGAAGGCGGCUCCCUGGACCGGUACUGACGCUGAGGUGCGAAAGCGUGGGUAGCAAACAGGGAUUAGAUACCCUGGUAGUCCACGCCGUAAACGAUGGGCACUAGGUGCAGCGGGUGUCGACCCCCCCUGCUGUGCCGAAGUUAACGCAUUAAGUGCCCCCGGCCUGGGGGAGUACGGUCGCAAGGCUG